This 495-nucleotide ribosomal RNA is filed under the name uncultured bacterium. RNAcentral's name for it is "partial 16S ribosomal RNA". It matches the Rfam family "Bacterial small subunit ribosomal RNA", at positions 28 to 507 of the family's 1533-position model. The record is from RNAcentral.
GACGAACGCUGGCGGCGUGCCUAAUACAUGCAAGUAGAACGCUGAAGGAGGAGCUUGCUCUUCUGGAUGAGUUGCGAACGGGUGAGUAACGCGUAGGUAACCUGCCUGGUAGCGGGGGAUAAAUAUUGGAAACGAUAGCUAAUACCGCAUAAGAGUAGAUGUUGCAUGACAUUUACUUAAAAGGUGCAAUUGCGUCACUACCAGAUGGACCUGCGUUGUAUUAGCUAGUUGGUGGGGUAACGGCUUACCAAGGCGACGAGACAUAGCCGACCGGUGUGGGGGGUCGGCGACCCUGGGACGGGGACACCGCCCAUACGCCUGCGAGACGGAGCAGUAUGGAAUCGGCGGCAAUGGACGGGAGUCUUGCCGAGCAACGCCGCGUGAGUUGAGAAGGCUCUCGGAUCGUGAAGACCGGUUGUAAGUGGAGAACGGGUUUGAGAGUGGAAGGUGCACGUUGUGACGGUAUCUGACCAGAAAGCGACGGCUAACUACGUG